RNAcentral lists this ribosomal RNA (168 nucleotides) under uncultured Pyramimonadales. Its description in RNAcentral is "partial Bacterial small subunit ribosomal RNA". The record is from RNAcentral. Lineage: Eukaryota; Viridiplantae; Chlorophyta; Pyramimonadophyceae; Pyramimonadales.
UUGGGCGCAAGAAGGAUUGGAGACCCUCUUGUAGUCUAAGGAAUAAACGAUGGAUACUAAGUGUCGGGGGGUUUUAGGAAUCUACCAGUAUCUGUUCUACAAUUCUACCAGUAUCUGAAAUUCUGAAUCUACAAGUACUGUUCUGUAGCUAACGCGUUAAGUAUCCCG